GGAAAUGAAGCAAGGUUUGCCUCAAAGAGCACAAAUAAUAUUUUCCUCAUGAUAUUUUGGUAAAAUCUGAGUCUCCGGAUCAAGGGAAUUCUGAACUGUGAUGCCAGGAAUGGAGGCCAAGAGAAACAACUUUCACGUGGUGAAAAAUGGUUUGAAAGGUUUCAGCAGCAGUCUAGAGAAUGAUCAGAAAGGGAAACAGAGAGAAACAAAGAUAUUCUGGUCUCCAAGUAAGACUCAACUAUGCUUAAGUGUGAAUUCCAUGGAAGACUAUUUCUCCUCAUCUUAGCUACAAAGGUGAUACAGCUCAUAUGACUGGUCUGAAAGGAGAAGGAAAAAGAAAAGAAAUGAGAGAAAAACAUGUGAAUCUCUGUGGAGGUCUAGGAAACAAUUUUAGAAUUAACUUGGGAAAUUUAUUUAUUGUGUACUUGUGUUCAAAAGAUGAGAGCCCAGCAGAUUAGCCACCUCUACCUAGGACACACAUUUUUGUUUCACACAUUUGCUCUUAUACUUUAAUUCAAGUGGAUAUUUUUCUUAAGCGAACAGAAACAUCGUGCAGUCAUGACAUUUGGCUAUUCUCUGGAGCAAUAUAGAAUUCACUGUCAGUAUUAAGAAUCUAAAAUGGAACACCUAUUCUUCACUGCUAUGCUUUAGUAUUGAUACAAAAGGAAAUACCAGAAAGCAAGUAAGAGGGAGCUGAAAUAGAUAUCACACACAUCUCAGAACUUAGUGAUUGUGAAGUUAGGGCUUAAUCAUGCAAAUUAAUAAUCACCCAUCCCAAAAUUCAGCUGCAGUCUUUGAGUGCCAACUCUUAGGAAAAUAUAUUUCUAACAAAUUCUAAAAAAAAAAAAAGCGUUACUUGCUAGUUUAUCCAAAAUUUUCCUCAGUGACACAUGAAAAGGACACGAACGAUUAUAUGUUCUUGCUCUUAGGAAAAAGACAUAAAAGACUAGGUUUGAGGAUUUUGAAUCUUAACAUCCUAUCAAUCAAUAACGCAUACUUGG
This is a long non-coding RNA of Phasianus colchicus (ring-necked pheasant), 1001 nucleotides long. RefSeq lists it as uncharacterized. NCBI's taxonomy places the organism in Eukaryota, Metazoa, Chordata, Aves, Galliformes, Phasianidae. The record is from RefSeq and is a predicted model, not a curated record.